This 490-nucleotide ribosomal RNA is filed under the name uncultured bacterium. RNAcentral describes it as "partial 16S ribosomal RNA". It matches the Rfam family "Bacterial small subunit ribosomal RNA", at positions 29 to 507 of the family's 1533-position model. The record is from RNAcentral.
AAUGAACGCUGGCGGCAUGCCUUACACAUGCAAGUCGAACGGCAGCAUGACCGAGCUUGCUAGGUUGAUGGCGAGUGGCGAACGGGUGAGUAAUGCAUCGGAACGUGCCUUUUAGUGGGGGAUAACGUAGCGAAAGUUACGCUAAUACCGCAUAUUCUCUGAGGAGGAAAGCAGGGGACCUUCGGGCCUUGCGCUAGAAGAGCGGCCGAUGUCGGAUUAGCUAGUUGGUGAGGUAAAGGCUCACCAAGGCAACGAUCCGUAGCGGGUCUGAGAGGAUGAUCCGCCACACUGGGACUGAGACAAGGCCCAGACUCCUACGGGAGGCAGCAGUGGGGAAUUUUGGACAAAGGGCGCAAGCCUGAUCCAGCCAUGCCGCGUGAGUGAAGAAGGCCUUCGGGUUGUAAAGCUCUUUCGGCUGGGAAGAAAUCGCACCCUCUAAUACAGGGUGUGGAUGACGGUACCAGCAUAAGAAGCACCGGCUAACUACGUG